GUAGGGAAUAUUGGUCAAUGGGCGAAAGCCUGAACCAGCCAUGCCGCGUGAAGGAUGACUGCCCUCAGGGUUGUAAACUUCUUUUAUAUGGGGAGAAACCCCUGGAUUUACUCCGGGGCUGACGGUACCAUAUGAAUAAGCACCGGCUAACUCCGUGCCAGCAGCCGCGGUAAUACGGAGGGUGCAAGCGUUAUCCGGAUUCACUGGGUUUAAAGGGUGCGUAGGCGGGAUAUUAAGUCAGAGGUGAAAGCCCCGAGCUCAACUUGGGAACUGCCUUUGAUACUGAUAUUCUUGAAUGUAGUUGAGGCAGGCGGAAUACAACAUGUAGCGGUGAAAUGCUUAGAUAUGUUGUAGAACACCAAUUGCGAAGGCAGCUUGCUAAACUAUUAUUGACGCUGAGGCACGAAAGCGUGGGGAGCGAACAGGAUUAGAAACCCCAGUAGUCC
RNAcentral lists this ribosomal RNA (446 nucleotides) under uncultured bacterium. RNAcentral describes it as "bacterial SSU rRNA". It matches the Rfam family "Bacterial small subunit ribosomal RNA", at positions 354 to 796 of the family's 1533-position model. The record is from RNAcentral.